AUUUGGGUAUCUGUUGAAUCAGAUUUAAUAGGGAACACGGGUGAGAGUCCCUGACAGUCCCGCUGCUGUGUUUCUCAAACAAUGGUUCAGGAUGAGCAACCGCUCUCAUGGAUGCAACAAACGCCACUGACCUGAUAAAGGUCGGGAAGGUUCCGGAACCCGGAGAUAAGUCAGAAGACCUGCCCAAAAUUC
Molecule: non-coding RNA, 192 nt
Filed under: bovine gut metagenome
Source: RNAcentral